CCUACGGGAGGCAGCAGUGGGGAAUAUUGCACAAUGGGGGAAACCCUGAUGCAGCGACGCCGCGUGAGCGAUGAAGUAUUUCGGUAUGUAAAGCUCUAUCAGCAGGGAAGAAGGUGACGGUACCUGACUAAGAAGCCCCGGCUAACUACGUGCCAGCAGCCGCGGUAAUACGUAGGGGGCAAGCGUUAUCCGGAUGUACUGGGGGGAAAGGGAGCGUAGACGGCGAUGCAGGCCAGAUGGGAAAGCCCGGGGCUCAAACCCGGGACUGCAUUUGGAACUGUGUGGCUGGAGUGUGGGAGAGGCAGGCGGAAUGCGUAGUGUAGCGGUGAAAUGCGUAGAUAUUAGGAGGAACCCCCGUGGCGAAGGCGGCCUGCUGGACGAUGACUGACGUUGAGGCACGAAAGCGUGGGGAGCAAACAGGAUUAGAUACCCUAGUAGUC
RNAcentral lists this ribosomal RNA (440 nucleotides) under uncultured bacterium. Its description in RNAcentral is "partial 16S ribosomal RNA". It matches the Rfam family "Bacterial small subunit ribosomal RNA", at positions 338 to 795 of the family's 1533-position model. The record is from RNAcentral.